Molecule: unclassified non-coding RNA, 401 nt
Filed under: soil metagenome
Description: partial contains 5.8S ribosomal RNA, internal transcribed spacer 2, and large subunit ribosomal RNA
Rfam family: 5.8S ribosomal RNA (bases 1-121)
Source: RNAcentral
GAUGAAGAACGUAGCGAAAUGCGAUAAGUAAUGUGAAUUGCAGAAUUCAGUGAAUCAUCGAAUCUUUGAACGCACCUUGCGCCCUUUGGCCAUUCCGAAGGGCAUGCCUGUUUGAGUAUCAUGAACACCUCAACUCUCAUGGCUCGCCAUGAUGAGCUUGGAUUUGGGGGUCUUGCUGGCCUGUGGUCGGCUCCUCUCAAAUGGAUCAGCUUGCCAGUGUUUGGUGGCAUCACAGGUGUGAUACCUAUCUGCGCUUGUGGUUUUCCAUCAGAUAACCUUCAGUGAUGGAGGUUCGCUGGAGCUCAUAAACGUCUCCCCUAAGCGGGGACAGCCCUUUGAAUGUUUGAUCUCAAAUCAGGUAGGACUACCCGCUGAACUUAAGCAUAUCAAUAAGCGGAGGA